Molecule: long non-coding RNA, 958 nt
Organism: Dermacentor albipictus
Lineage: Eukaryota; Metazoa; Arthropoda; Arachnida; Ixodida; Ixodidae
Source: RefSeq, a predicted model, not a curated record
AAACUUUUUAUCAGUCACAUCGCAUAUUUUAAGCGCCAAAAAGUUAUAGUCCGUAAUAUUAACCCGCAAAAUGAGAAACAGUAUACAUUCCGCAGUCCUUACUUUUCCUGCGGUCCUGCAUUCAUGUAUUGGCGGGAUGAAUGUAUGGUGGACGUGACCGGCGGCAGUAUCGGCGAGCUGCGUCUGUGAUUUUCAAGGUACAGGCUAUUCACACAAAAGGAAUCUGCUAGUGAUGACGACCUUGGGGACAGGCCAUGUUCUCCCUUCAUCAUUGCAAAAGGAGGCAGUUUCCUUACUGCAAAGAGCUUCGUCGUAUGUGUUGACAGCCUGCCAGCGAUGCAUGCAACGAACCCCUGCCAGGCAUUCAAGCUGAUGUUUUUUGUUCACUUCGUGUUCAACGUUGCAUACCCCAAAGACACAAGCCUCUGCUUGGAGUUUACACAGCGGUGUCAAUCCUGGCAGGGGAACCAAGGUAGAGCGCACCAAGAAAAAGCAGCAUUGCCUGUCCCCAAAAGUGGCUUCCCUCGUCACAUCGUUGCAAGACUAUGACUUUUAAGUGUUCUGUAACUUGAAAACAUUCUAUAUCAAUGCACUGUGAUAAUGUAACAACUUGUGGCAUGCCUUAUACCUUGUUUCUACCUCACUGCUUAAUGCAGUACUAGUCUCAAGCAAGGCACAGUUUGCCCAAGUCACUUUCCUUAUACAUAUACUUGGCGUUACAGUUUAGUGACUGGUUGUAUACAUUGUAGCACUGCUGUCUCUAUUCUAGUAAUAUUUUAAUUUUCAUAUUGUAGUUGCAAGGUUGGAUAUACUGAGUGGGUUGACACAAUGUUUUUGGUUGCACUGUGAUAAUGUAACAACUUGUGGCAUGCCUUAUGCCUUGUUGUUUGUACCUCACUGCUUAAUGCAGUACUAGUCUCAAGCAAGGCACAGUUUGCCCAAGUCACUUUCCUUAUAC